CUUGGGCAGGCUGGGACUGGCCAGGACACCACAGGGUUGCUAGGUGACAGACAACAGCGUGCCGAGCAGCUCCGGGGUGCACUGUGCCUCCUCCCAGGGAGGUUCCUCUCCGUGCCCCCCGGCCAUCACAGCGCAGGCAGCUGAGCCCGGCUGCAUCCCGCUUGGGACGUUCACUCUGAAGCGUAAUGAGGACCUUGAGCCUUCUGGAGCAGAGCCCUGCAACCCGGGGCACCCCAUCCCUGUCCCCCCCCCAGCAGCGCAGUGCUGGGACAUAUGGCAGAGCCUGCAGUGCCUCUCCUGACACUGUCGAUGUCCGUGGGACAGCCGGCACCAAAGCAGCAGUGGGACCCACCAGGAGAUGCAGCCCCCGGGCAGAGGGGCGGCACGAGGUGUCCUGCCCAGGGCAUGCAGCCAAGCCCCGGUGGCAGCGCUGGAAGCAGAAGGCCGUCCUGUCCCAUAGGCUGGCAGCGCUGCGCCAGGCCCUGAGGAGCAGCCAGGAGGGGAUGCAGGAGCCAGGAGCUGGAGCUCAGGGCAUGCAGAGCGAUGGGGAUGGGGCCAGGGCACGUGCGUGGGAUUGUGUGGAUGUGGAGGAGGUGCAGGUGCAGAAGGGCUGCGCUGAACGCCCAGGGAAGGUGAGGAGGAAAACGUUGGAUCUCAGAGAAGAGAAGAGGGAGCUGCAGGAGAGGCUCUGUGGGUUGGAGCUCCGGAUGCGCUCCAUGCUGCGGCAGAGGCAGGAGGCCCUGGGGCAGCUGCGGGCAGUGCUGCAGAAGGAGAGGAUGGCCACACUCAGGCGGCUGCAGGAGAGCCUGGAGAAGGUGAAUGGGACCAUCUGUGUCUGUCAGAACUGUCACCCAGAGGAGCUGGCAGCCCCAGGAGCCCUGAAGGAGCCACUGACCCCAGAGAGAGCCCUGCGGGAGGCAGCGACGUGUGUGUGGGAUCCAGCCCGGCCACCAUCUCCUUCCCCUUCUACACCUGGGUUGAGCCAUGCUACAGGUGCACAGAGAAGGGGUGAGCACCUGUGCCACCGCUCAGCCUCUUCCCUGCCCCCAAGCACUGUGCCCCGCCUCCAGCAGCAACACCACACGGCGCUGGGGGUCCUGCACCACGUCCAGCGCUGCCUGCGGGAGCUGCAAGUAGAGGACCUCGGUGUGCUGGGAGCAGAGCUGGGCACCACAGCAAAUGAGGAGAGGUUCCUGAUGCCACCUCUUGACAUUCCUCCAAGCCCCAACAGGAACAAGCUCGCUGCUGCGACCAGGACUCGAGAUGAAGCAUGGAGGUGGUGAUGCAUCCCUCUACCUCCCUAUGCAUACCCAGGUCGACCAGUUGUGAAGCUGCUGAACGGGUCCCACGGAAUUUCCCAUGUAGAAGCUUCUCUUAGGUCCUGGCUGGGCUCCUUCCAAGGGCUGGGGACCGCGGGACAGCAUUUUGGGUGCGAUGGGUGAGGUCACGUGCCUCCACCAGGCUGCUGUCCAAGGUCCUGCCGGGAGAACCUGGAUUCCCAACCAGCAUCUUUGCUCCUCACACUCAUUUAGGAGCUUGGAAUGGAGAGGUCCAUGCUGCAGGGGUGGUCGCUCAGUGGGGUGGGAAUGAAGGUUUUGGGUUGGGGUGAGAUAUGGAGAAGUAGAUGGGGAGUAAGGGCUGGGGGAAAUCUCGUGCCUUCCCAGGUCUGGUUGGCUGGGCCACGCACAUCAGGAGUGCUUUGGGAUGGCUGUGGGCAGAAACACUUCAGGAAAAAAAGAAGUUUAAAAAUGAGGAAUUGUUCUACUUAGGAGCUCUCAAAUAAUUUUAAAGAGGAGAAACCUAUUUCUCAGUCUUCACACAUCUCAAUGGAGAAAAUGCUGUUUUUAAUUUGCAGGAGAAUGCCCAAGGAGAGUUUCUCUGCAUGCGAGGGGGGAAAUGAGAAUUUCAUGCAGUACUGAUUGCUGCACUUCCUUGCUGGAGGAGGCAGGGAGUGAAAAUGGAAAUCUUUGUCUGCUUUCUUCCCAAUCAAAAUAAAAAUGUUCCUCAUUAUAUUUUUCUGGACUGGGGAGAUUUCUGAAUUUACUUCUGAUGCACAGCUCUGUUUGUAAGCUCCCUUUAGGUAGUGGAAGGCCACAGUGAGGUCUUCCCAGGUCCUUCUCUUCACCAGGAUACCCAAAAAUGUGAUUUUUCUGCCUUACCUCAUGCUUGCAACCUUUGGGAUGCUGAUGCAACCUUGAAAUCACCCAGUGUAAUGCAAGUCCCUAUGGAAGGCAAUGCAAGA
RNAcentral lists this long non-coding RNA (2242 nucleotides) under Gallus gallus (chicken). RNAcentral's name for it is "lncRNA (ENSGALG00010000496.1)". Lineage: Eukaryota; Metazoa; Chordata; Aves; Galliformes; Phasianidae. The record is from RNAcentral.